RNAcentral lists this ribosomal RNA (253 nucleotides) under uncultured bacterium. RNAcentral describes it as "partial 16S ribosomal RNA". It matches the Rfam family "Bacterial small subunit ribosomal RNA", at positions 524 to 776 of the family's 1533-position model. The record is from RNAcentral.
UACGGAGGGAGCUAGCGUUGUUCGGAAUUACUGGGCGUAAAGCGCGCGUAGGCGGCCUUGUAAGUUAGAGGUGAAAGCCCGGGGCUCAACCCCGGAACAGCCUUUGAGACUGCAUCGCUAGAAUCUUGGAGAGGUCAGUGGAAUUCCGAGUGUAGAGGUGAAAUUCGUAGAUAUUCGGAAGAACACCAGUGGCGAAGGCGACUCACUGGACAAGUAUUGACGCUGAGGUGCGAAAGCGUGGGGAGCAAACAGG